RNAcentral lists this ribosomal RNA (348 nucleotides) under uncultured bacterium. Its description in RNAcentral is "bacterial SSU rRNA". It matches the Rfam family "Bacterial small subunit ribosomal RNA", at positions 8 to 350 of the family's 1533-position model. The record is from RNAcentral.
AGAGUUUGAUCCUGGCUCAGGACGAACGCUGGCGGCGCGCCUAACACAUGCAAGUCGAACGAGAGAGAAGGAGCUUGCUUCUUCGAUCGAGUGGCGAACGGGUGAGUAACGCGUGAGGAACCUGCCUCAAAGAGGGGGACAACAGUUGGAAACGACUGCUAAUACCGCAUAAGCCCACGGGUCGGCAUCGACCUGAGGGAAAAGGAGCAAAUCCGCUUUGAGAUGGCCUCGCGUCCGAUUAGCUAGUUGGUGAGGUAACGGCCGACCAAGGCGACGAUCGGUAGCCGGACUGAGAGGUUGAACGGCCACAUUGGGACUGAGACACGGCCCAGACUCCUACGGGAGGCA